GUUAUUGGCUUAAGGGAAAGGAAAACAGACCUAUAUAAGUAAAUCCCUCUGCAGGGCACGCUGUCUGACUUCUGAGGCAGAAACGAGGAUGUGGACAGUAUGGUGUAUGGUCUUGUACUUCUUUGGAGCAAGAGCUAAGAUAACCCAAAACCCAAGUCUGGUGCUGAAAGAAGAUGAGAAUGCUACUCUGACAUGCAGUCAAAAUGACAAUCACAAUUAUAUGUACUGGUAUCUGCAGCAGCCAGGGAAGGGGCUGCAAUUGAUCUAUUAUUCAUACGGUACAAAUCAGGAUUAUGAGGGUGAUAUUCCCAUCGGAUACAAGGCAAAGCGGUUAAGCCAAGAAGUCUUCCGUCUAGAUAUUGUACCUGUAANGAAGAACCAUUCUGCUACCUAUUUCUGUGCCUCCAGUUUGGACACAACACUUCAAAGUCACUUGCUUUCUUUACAUAAACCCCUCUCCAGUAUGUACCUCCCCUCAGAAGGGAGUAGCUCUGAGCACAGGACAGUGGUGUGCAGGCCAAUUGGCCAUUCACAAACCAGAGGUUGCUGAGGAGCUGGACCAAGA
Non-coding RNA from Numida meleagris (helmeted guineafowl), 565 nucleotides. Lineage: Eukaryota; Metazoa; Chordata; Aves; Galliformes; Numididae. The record is from the annotation of a RefSeq genome assembly.